GCCAGACUCCUACGGGAGGCAGCAGUGGGGAAUAUUGCACAAUGGGGGAAACCCUGAUGCAGCGACGCCGCGUGAGCGAAGAAGUAUUUCGGUAUGUAAAGCUCUAUCAGCAGGGAAGAAAUUGACGGUACCUGAGUAAGAAGCUCCGGCUAAAUACGUGCCAGCAGCCGCGGUAAUACGUAUGGAGCAAGCGUUAUCCGGAUUUACUGGGUGUAAAGGGAGCGUAGGCGGCCUGCCAAGUCUGAUGUGAAAUACCGGGGCUCAACCCCGGGGCUGCAUUGGAAACUGGCAGGCUGGAGUGUCGGAGAGGCAGGCGGAAUUCCUGGUGUGGCGGUGAAAUGCGUAGAGAUCAGGAGGAGCACCGGUGGCGAAGGCGGCCUGCUGGACUGCAACUGACGUUGAGGCCCGAAAGCGUGGGGAGCAAACAGGAUUAGAGACCCGAGUAGA
This 447-nucleotide ribosomal RNA is filed under the name uncultured bacterium. RNAcentral's name for it is "partial 16S ribosomal RNA". It matches the Rfam family "Bacterial small subunit ribosomal RNA", at positions 330 to 794 of the family's 1533-position model. The record is from RNAcentral.